RNAcentral lists this ribosomal RNA (505 nucleotides) under uncultured bacterium. Its description in RNAcentral is "partial 16S ribosomal RNA". It matches the Rfam family "Bacterial small subunit ribosomal RNA", at positions 28 to 507 of the family's 1533-position model. The record is from RNAcentral.
GACGAACGCUGGCGGCGUGCCUAAUACAUGCAAGUAGAACGCACAGUUUAUACCGUAGCUUGCUACACCAUAGACUGUGAGUUGCGAACGGGUGAGUAACGCGUAGGUAACCUGCCUGGUAGCGGGGGAUAACUAUUGGAAACGAUAGCUAAUACCGCAUAAUAUUAAUUAUUGCAUGAUAAUUAAUUGAAAGGUGCAAUUGCACCACUACCAGAUGGACCUGCGUUGUAUUAGCUAGUAGGUGAGGUAACGGCUCACCUAGGCGACGAUACAUAGCCGACCUGAGAGGGUGAUCGGCCACACUGGGACUGAGACACGGCCCAGACUCCUACGGGAGGCAGCAGUAGGGAAUCUUCGGCAAUGGACGAAAGGCUGACCGAGCAACGCCGCGGGAGUGAAGAAGGUUUUCGGAUCGUAAAGCUCUGUUGUAAGAGAAGAACGGGUGUGAGAGUGGAAAGUUCACACUGUGACGGUAUCUUACCAGAAAGGGACGGCUAACUACGUG